UCCGGUUUAACACCGGCAGUCUCUUCAGAGUGCCCAACUUAAUGGUGGCAACUAAAGACAAGGGUUGCGCUCGUUGCGGGACUUAACCCAACAUCUUACGACACGAGCUGACGACAGCCAUGCAGCACCUAUCUCCACGUCCCCGAAGGGAAAGCCCUAUCUCUAAGGUUGUCGUGGGAUGUUAAGACCAGGUAAGGUUCUGCGCGUUGCUUCGAAUUAAACCACAUACUCCACCGCUUGUGCGGGCCCCCGUCAAUUCCUUUGAGUUUUAGCCUUGCGACCGUACUCCCCAGGCGGGAUACUUAAUGCGUGAGCUUCGGUACCCAGGAGGUUAACAUCCCGGACACCUAGUAUCCAUAGUUUACGGCGUGGACUAC
Molecule: unclassified non-coding RNA, 377 nt
Filed under: uncultured Oligoflexaceae bacterium
Lineage: Bacteria; Pseudomonadati; Bdellovibrionota; Oligoflexia; Oligoflexales; Oligoflexaceae
Description: contains 16S-23S intergenic spacer region
Source: RNAcentral